GGGCGCGUAGCUCAGCGGGAGAGCGCCUCGUUCACACCGAGGAGGUCACUGGUUCAAUCCCAGUCGUGCCCACCA
Molecule: transfer RNA, 75 nt
Filed under: Alphaproteobacteria bacterium
Lineage: Bacteria; Pseudomonadati; Pseudomonadota; Alphaproteobacteria
Description: tRNA-Val
Rfam family: tRNA
About the family: Transfer RNA (tRNA) molecules are approximately 80 nucleotides in length.
Source: RNAcentral